This 1715-nucleotide long non-coding RNA is filed under the name Strigops habroptila (Kakapo). Its description in RNAcentral is "lncRNA (ENSSHBG00005017871.1)". Lineage: Eukaryota; Metazoa; Chordata; Aves; Psittaciformes; Psittacidae. The record is from RNAcentral.
UUUGUUUUUUUUUUCCUGCUGUAAUGCUGUACUCACCACAUCUCUUUGCAUUCAAAACCAUUAAAUUUUUGUAGGAAUCAUUCUAGAGUAAAUCCACUAUGGCUGAAGGUGAGAUGAUUUAGUACUUCAUUUUAAAUCUACUAGUAUUGAUUUCUUAAUGCUUUUUCUUCCCCAAGGCUACAAAUCAGGAAAAAUGCUGCCAGGGUCUGGCAGCACAUCUGUGUGGUCAGUAUCCUUCAGACCUCAGACAGCAUCCAACACCUCUGGGGAGAGCCCACAGACCCAGCGUGGCUCCUGGGAAUUGGGCAGCUCUGGCACCUUCCACCCAGGCUUUGCAGCCUUCCCUGCAGGUAAGGUGACAACCAACAAAGCAGCAGCUGGUUUGGCUCUGCUUGUCCUGACCCAUAGAUAUCACGGAUUACAUCAACUUGGCUCAACAUUAAAGGGCUGCUGUACCUUGCUGGGGGUGAGGGUGUUUUAUCAGCUUAUUUUUCCUCUUCACUGCAAAAUGAUGUUGCUGCUCAAGCUUUUGAAGUUAUGCACAUCCCAGGUCCUUGCUCGGGUGGGUGACAUUGACCUCCUAGGCAUUCUCUGCUGGUGCGAUCAUGGUUUGAGCUGUGUCUGCAAACUGCUGUGCUCUUAGCAUACCCUGAUCUUCCUCUGGUGUAAUAGCCCAGGGCCCUCACUGAGCUUUGCUCUCGCAAGGGGAGAUGUGACUAAUGCAAGAGAGGAGCAGUGUGCCACAAUACUCAGAGCCAGCCUGAGCUGAUGGGAGUGAAAACUAAGAGGUGAUGUUCUCCUCGCAUCAAAGUGUCCCUGGAGUGCUGAGUGCUCAGCUCCCCCCAUUACCAUUGCACGGUGGCUUGGGGAUGUGCCCUGAGCACUGACCUGCUCCUCUCCCAGCCCCGCUCAUGGGAACCACUUGCUGAUUCAUGUGAGUAGGCAGAAAAGAAAAAGGAUUCUUUAGGAGGUGUUUUUCUAAGGCUUAACCUCUAUCUGUGAGGGAGGAUAUUAAGAGGAAGCAAGUGGGCAGUAGGAUAGCUAACAUCCAAGACCUGUGGUGGUGGAGAAAAAAAACAACAACUAGUGCAAAGACAGAUGAUUAGUGGUAAUGAAAGAUUUGGGAAUGCUGUACUCUCUAUAAGUAUGGGAAAUUGGGAGAGUGUUUUUACAUGUCCAAAAGCUACUCUGUCUCUUUGCAUAGUCUGUGUAGCUGUCCAGAUGGGAGACGAUAAAGGCAAUAGGAUGCGGAUGCUGUAAGUUCAAGAAGUGUUCCCACUAAGAAGGCAAAAUUGCUCACAGCUUAUGCUCUUCAUUGGUGUUGCUUGUUUACCAAGGACCAUUUCCCAGGAGCUGCCCUGGUUACACCACCAUCCACUGCCAUGGGUCAGGAGUUGAGGUAGUAGUUAGGCUGGAGCAGCAGCAGAGCUCAUCCCUAGUUCUGAUUUAAUUCACUGAAGUUUGUGCAAACUUAAGCUAAAAGCUAAACUCAGGAUGGUUUAGGAAAAGCCUAGACUGGAGACAUAAGAUAAAUGUCUUGAGAACAGAAUGAGGUUUAACUAUAGCUGAUGUUCCAACUUUGAAGCAGAUAAAUGACUUUGCAAAAAGAGUGGCACAGCCAAGCCCCUUUUCAAUUACAGAAAGCUAACUCAAUCAGCUCCUAUUCUUUUUAAAUAGAUCUGCUAGAUUAUAUGAAUGUGCAUAAUAUGUAGUCC